GACGAACGCUGGCGGUGUGCUUCACACAUGCAAGUCGAACGGGGUAGCAAUACCCAGUGGCGGACGGGUGAGUAACACGUGGGAAUCUUACCAUUAGAUGGGGAAGUAACAGGCCGAAAGGACUGCUAAUGCCGCAUAUGUAUGUGCCUCGACAGGGGCGUAUAUGAAAGGAGUAAUCCGUCUGAUGAUGAGCCCGCGUCCGA
RNAcentral lists this ribosomal RNA (203 nucleotides) under uncultured bacterium. RNAcentral's name for it is "partial 16S ribosomal RNA". It matches the Rfam family "Bacterial small subunit ribosomal RNA", at positions 28 to 240 of the family's 1533-position model. The record is from RNAcentral.